Molecule: ribosomal RNA, 720 nt
Filed under: uncultured soil bacterium
Lineage: Bacteria
Description: bacterial SSU rRNA
Rfam family: Bacterial small subunit ribosomal RNA
Source: RNAcentral
UGCAAGUCGAACGGAGAAUUUCAAAGAGCUUGCUCGGAGAAAUUUUUAGUGGCGGACGGGUGAGUAACGCGUGGGUAACCUACCCAUAAACUCGGGACAACCCUUGGAAACGAGGGCUAAUACCGAAUAAUCUUUUGAUGCGGCAUCGUAUUAAAAGGAAAGGUGGCCUCUGUACAUGCUACCGAUUAUGGAUGGACCCGCGUCUGAUUAGCUAGUUGGUGGGGUAAAGGCCUACCAAGGCGACGAUCAGUAGCCGGCCUGAGAGGGUGAACGGCCACACUGGGACUGAGACACGGCCCAGACUCCUACGGGAGGCAGCAGUGGGGAAUCUUCCGCAAUGGACGAAAGUCUGACGGAGCAACGCCGCGUGUAUGAUGAAGGUCUUCGGAUUGUAAAGUACUGUCUUUGGGGAAGAAUGAUGUAUUUGAAAAUAUUGAGUACAUAUGACGGUACCCAAGGAGGAAGCCCCGGCUAACUACGUGCCAGCAGCCGCGGUAAUACGUAGGGGGCAAGCGUUGUCCGGAAUUAUUGGGCGUAAAGGGCGCGUAGGCGGAUAGUUAAGUCCGGUGUGAAAGAUCAGGGCUCAACCCUGAGAGUGCAUCGGAAACUGGUUAUCUUGAGGACAGGAGAGGAAAGUGGAAUUCCACGUGUAGCGGUGAAAUGCGUAGAUAUGUGGAGGAACACCAGUGGCGAAGGCGACUUUCUGGACUGUAACUGACG